ACAGCGAGACGGGCGGUGGGGCUGAGCCGAGGCCCAGGAACGGAGGUAGAGGAGCAGACCCGGGCGACGCGGCCCGCGAGCGAGAGGGUCGUCCGGGUCAGUCCAGCGCAACUCGGGUCACCAGUCCCAGGGCCCUGGUCCCCUUAUUGGAUCUAUGUCUGGGUUUGCUGAAGCACCCGCUGGGCCCAGGACUGCAGAGACGCCCCUACCCAGGCUGUGCCCCGGGUGGAGGGGGACAGGGGGAACGGCUUCAUCGCGGGGUUCGGGGCAGGACAGCUCAGGACCUGCGGAGAUACUGGAUGGUGUAGGAUCCCAGGCCAAAGGUGGCGCACCCUGAGAUCAGCAGCCCAGCUCCCUGCAGCCUUGAGGAGGGCGCUGCCUGCGUCUUUGGGAGCCUCAGCUUCCCCUCCGGUUCCGGGCCUUGGAGUGCUGGUCUGCAGCUGCGGCCUGGCUCUGUGCCCGGCCUGACCCUCGUUCACACUGCACACCCCUGGAGGCAGGACAGAAAGUGUGCACAGCGAAGACCCUGACACCCUACUGGUUGAUGAUCCAAAUCCCGAGGUCCCUCUCAGAGUCCGGUGAGAUCCAGAGCCAGCUAGAGGAAGAAAGUGGCCGCGUCAGCUCCCGAAAGGCCGUCUGGGUGAGGUUGAAAGGAAAAGCCAACAGGAGUUCCCAUCGUGGGGCUUCGGAAACAAUCCGACCAGGAACCAUGAGGUUGCGGUUUCCAUCCCUGGCCUGGCUCAGUGGAUUAAGGAUCCGGUGUCUCUGUGGCUAUGGUGUAGGCCGGCAGCCGUAGCUCCCAUUCGACCAGUAGGCUCUCGGGUCCACCUCCUCUCCCCGUGGUCCUGUGCUGCCUCUUCCUACCCUGCUCCUCAGCAGCUCAGUGCAACUCUCCUGUCCCCCGCAUCCUCCCUGGUCGCACGCAGAGAGCAUCUGUGCAAAGACAACAGACGCGGCCACCCAGACCCUUUAGCUCACAGAGGAUGCCCUGAACGGACUCCCAGGGAGCCUACAGAAGACCACGGACUUGAGAAGGCACUGUGAACUGCUUGGUAGCAUCUGCAAGAUGGGGUUUGGUUUCAGGUCUGUGUCCUGCCCGCCACCCUCAGGCCCCGGUGGGCUCAGGAGGGCCUUGGGCACAGCCCGAGGGGCCUCGACCCUCAUACAGUGCAGAGCAAAGUCAGAGAUGGGUGGAGGCAGCUGCUGCUCCGGGUGGGAGCUGAUGACAUCCCGCCUGUCGUGUAGACAUUUGAGUUAACUGGCCCUGGGGUUGCCAAUAAUCUCAGUCAGGUCAAAGCCUCCACUCGGAGACGUUUGGGGCAGAAACCUGCUGAUUUACCCCUUGUUUUAACUCUUGGGGAACAAGGGGAUUGCUGACCGCUCCCACUGGCAGGGAGCAGGGAGUGGAAAGAGAACAGCCCUCGAGGGAGAGGCCAAGGAGCCCGUCUGCUCUGGCUCUGCACCGUCCAGCACAGUGGCCUCAGCCUGUCCCAACUGCGAUGUGCGAAUGUGCACAAGAAACACCUGAUUUCAAAGACGUUGAAAAAAAUGCCAAAUAUCUUUCUAAUAAUUUUAUAUUGAUUGCCUCUGGAAAUUAUGUUUUAGAUGUGUUAAGGUAAAUAAAAUAUAUUAUUAAAUUU
RNAcentral lists this long non-coding RNA (1640 nucleotides) under Sus scrofa (pig). RNAcentral's name for it is "lncRNA (ENSSSCG00060011189.1)". Lineage: Eukaryota; Metazoa; Chordata; Mammalia; Artiodactyla; Suidae. The record is from RNAcentral.